CAUAAAUGCUACAUCGGCAGAUUGAAUUUAAAAAAGAUUAAUAAAGUACUUCAAAUUCAAAUAUAAACGUUAUAUUUGUUCGGAAUAGUAAUAAUUUUUUUCUCUGCCAAAGAAAGAAAACAAAAAAGAAGUUCGCCUAUAUAUAGCCAGUAUACUUUUAUUUUUCCGUGAUCCGGAUCGCGGGCCUCGCGGGGUUUUCUGAAAGUGUGCACGGAGAACACACGUGUUUCCGUUUCAACGAAAACAAACAAACACAGCUUCACCGUGACUGUCACAGCGAACGCUUGUAUUUUACAUCUUUAAAACGACCUGAUGUCAGAAGAAGAAGAUGCCCUGGAUCCCCUGUUGCAGGAUGACCCAAACGAUCAUGCAUUCAGUAUAAAUACGUACAUGGUAUUGACAUCCCAAUAUUUAGUGGGAAGUUUCCAGGUAUCAUCCGCUAGCGACAGUCUACUGACAAAUCCAGACAUGCAUUGGAAGGAUGCUGAUGUGGAGGACACAGGAACACCUGAUCCCAAAACUGUGGCAUUUCAUUCGGGGUGACAACCUGGCUUUCAGUUCGAAUGACUCUUUGAGGUUGAAUAUAGGGUUUAAUCAGUAUAAAUGUGAUUAACAUUCAAAUAAAUCCAGAUAAUACAUUCACAAUUGGAAUCAUGGCAUUAUGGUACACUGAUAUGUGUGUACCAUUUUACUGUGUUUUUUUUUUUUUUUUUUUUUUUUUUUUUUUUGCUGCAUAACUAGGGAUCGUAUACAUACAAAAUGAGACAAUUUCUAAUUAGUUUCUAAUUAUAAGGUAUGACACGUUUUAAGGUAUGGUGGCCAAUACUGAUUUUAUUUUUAUUUGCAAUUUUCUUUCAGAUAUGGGACUCUAUUAUUCGGAAAACUGCAGAUUUUAUGAAGCUGUCUUUGACAGAAGAUUUGGUUUUCUCCAUCUGUGUUGCCACCAACCAUUAUGCUGAGAUAGUCAUAACUAGGGGGAAGGGUUGCCAUAUACUUCCCAAGGAAGUUUGCAGCCUCUCACUGAAGAGGAACUGUACAGAUUUUUGUGCAUUAUCUUAUACACGCCUGCUGUGAAGUUCCAGUCGAUAGACAGAUAUUGGUCAACGCAUGCCCCUGUCGGAACAACUCGUUAUCAAGAAUUAUGUCUAGAAAUAGGUUUCAAGAGGUUGAAUAUAAGAACAUUUUUGUUAAAUAUGAUGCAAGUACAUUUGAAUCUAGUGAUUGAAAGUAAGUACUUGAACAUUCGUUUAUGUUGAACUUGGAGAGGAAAAAUGGUUAAUACUUUUUGAUAACAUUUGAUAAGGUGUUGUUGCUUAGCAACCAAAUAUAAUUGAAUAAAAAUAGAUUAUUUUAGAUUAACAAUAAUUGAAAGAUCUUUGUUUUAAUGUUGCAAUACUUAUUAUAUUUAAUGGAACAUAAUGGCAAAACGUCAUAUUAUUAGAAAAUGAUGGACAAGUAUAUAAAGUACGAAGUUUCCAUUUGAUGACCUUUGAUCUUAAUUCUCUUGAUUAUAUUUUUUGUUAAAAACCUUUUAAAAUGAUUAAGAUCUAUUUAAAGAUUAUAUUUUUAAAAUAAUGUGACAUUUACUAAUCAUCAUGGAUUGUAAUUACGUUUAAAUUGUGUCGAAUGGAUGCAGAAAGGCAAAUUAUGGUCAAAAUUGUACUAUGAGUGUUGUUACUUAGCAACCAAAAAUAUUUGUUUGUCAAUAAAAUUGAUUAGUUUGA
Ostrea edulis (European flat oyster) is the source of this 1724-nucleotide long non-coding RNA. RefSeq lists it as uncharacterized. Lineage: Eukaryota; Metazoa; Mollusca; Bivalvia; Ostreida; Ostreidae. The record is from RefSeq and is a predicted model, not a curated record. The transcript has 3 exons.